GGUGAACGCUGGCGGCGUGCUUAAGACAUGCAAGUCGAACGGGCUCUUCGGAGCCAGUGGCGCACGGGUGAGUAACGCGUAACUUACCUACCCCAAAGUCGCGGAUAACGAUUCGAAAGAAUCGCUAAUACGUGAUGUGCUGUCAGAUCCUGUUCUGCCAGUAAAGAUUUAUUGCUUUGGGAUGGGGUUGCGUUCCAUCAGCUAGUUGGUGGGGUAAAGGCCCACUAAGGCGACGACGGAUCGCCGGCCUGAGAGGGUGGCCGGCCACAGGGGCACUGAGACACGGGUCCCACUCAUACGGGAGGCAGCAGUUAGGAAUCGUCCACAAUGGGCGAAAGCCUGAUGGAGCGACGCCGCGUGAGGGAUGAAGGGCUUCGGAUCGUAAACCUCUGAAUCAGGGACGAAAGACGCGAAAGCGGGAUGACGGUACCUGAGUAAUAGCACCGGCUAACUCCGUG
This 458-nucleotide ribosomal RNA is filed under the name uncultured bacterium. Its description in RNAcentral is "partial 16S ribosomal RNA". It matches the Rfam family "Bacterial small subunit ribosomal RNA", at positions 28 to 507 of the family's 1533-position model. The record is from RNAcentral.